Molecule: non-coding RNA, 104 nt
Filed under: Saccharomonospora xinjiangensis
Lineage: Bacteria; Bacillati; Actinomycetota; Actinomycetes; Pseudonocardiales; Pseudonocardiaceae
Description: Glycine sequence
Rfam family: Glycine riboswitch aptamer
About the family: This family represents the bacterial glycine riboswitch.
Source: RNAcentral
CGAGGCCACUCUGGAAAGAAGGCACUGCGGGUGCCUCACCCAAGGUGUAAGCCGUGCGCGCUCGCACGGUGAAACUCUCAGGUGCCCAUGACAGAGGGGGAGUU